Molecule: RNA transcript, 1687 nt
Organism: Magnolia sinica
Lineage: Eukaryota; Viridiplantae; Streptophyta; Magnoliopsida; Magnoliales; Magnoliaceae
Gene name: histone H3-like centromeric protein CENH3
Exons: 6
Source: RefSeq, a predicted model, not a curated record
UCAAGAAGAUCCAGUGUCAUCGGCUCGCCCAACCCCGGCCUCGGUACUUCUCUCACUUCCAUUUCUGAUCCUCUUUUUAUUUUACUUUUCUCCUGUUGAUUUGUUGGAUUCUUGAAGUUUCUGAAAAAUAAUUAGAAUAAAACAGGAACGUCAAGCGAGUGGACAGGAUGAGGUACCUACAAAUGCACAGGCAGGGCCUUCAUCAGGGAGGAAGCCGCGGAAGCCUCGCAAGUUCAGGCCAGGGACUGUGGCUCUUUGGGAGAUACAGAAGUAUCAGAAGUCCUGUGAGCUGUUGAUACCCGCAGAUCCUUUCAUUCGAUGUGUGGGUAAGGGAGCUAACUGCUUUCUAUUCUAGGGGAGUUAAUUGUUGGAUGGCUGAAGCUUUAGUAGCAAUCCAAGAGGAAGGAGCAAUUUGCAUCUUAGUUGGCCGAUCCGCUAUAAUAUUUGCUUGGGGACAGCAAGAGGUCUGACUUAUCUUCACGAGGAGUUGAGACGAUAUAUCAUACACAGGGAUGUCAAGGCCAAUAAUAUUCUGAUCGAUGCAGAUCUCAAUCCAAAAAUUUCAGAUUUUGGUCUGGCCAAGCUGUAUGAUGAGAAUGAGACCCACAUUAGGACACAUGUCGCAGGGACGACGUAAGCACUGGUGGACCCUUUCCUUGAUUUGUUCCACUGCAGAAGCAGUACCAUACAUGUAAUCCAAUCCAGACCACCCAAAUCACACACCCUAACGUGGUGAAAGCAAAACUUAGUUAAAUUGUGCCCUACAAAUAGACAUGUCAUUGAAAGUUACAAGAUAAUUGCCAUAUUGCUGUUGUAGAACACUGUCGAAAGUUAUGUGAAGGCUCUCCAUGUAAAAUUAUUUCAUUGUAACAGUUCUGCGGAUGACAUGUCCGUCAAUUCAAAAUCAUGUCGUUUGAGACUAUGGGUGGCCCUUGAUUGAGUGGAAUGGUGGAACAGGAUUCAUGUAGCCAACCCUAAUUAAUUGGGAUGAGGCUUCGUCAUCUGAUAUUAUGGAUUAUUGUAAAUUUAAAAUCACGUAAUUUCUUUGCUAUGUCUCUAAGCAUACCUAUACAUGCAUACCAGCGUCUACUAGCAUAUCUAGCUAUCCAAGAAUUUGGCUUGAACCAAGAGGCUUAAUGGGUAGUUGCCACUUCAGUUUUUGAUGGUUUGCUUUUCAAUUUUUACGAGGACGUGGAACUGUUGUCACAGGCCGUGUUGAACAAGGGACUAUUAAAGUUGGAGAAGAUGUAGAGAUUUUAGGUUUAAUGCAGGUUGGACAAGAACAGGCGACUUGUACUGCAAAGGAACUACGUGAAAUUCCUGGUGGCACUUGUUGAUGCACGUGGAGGGGCAUGCUUGUGGAGCUAUAUAUCUCUUUGGAGAAAUGCAACAAGAAAGGGUUAAAGAGGAUGAAUAUAGAAAAUAAGACGUGUCAGGUAAUCUAUUUAUGAUUCUUGCUGUUUGAUUAUGGACUGCUAUGGUCUAUCCUCAUGGUGGCCUGUCAGAAGGAUGGUGUAGGUCCCUAGUUCAAAAACCUGAAACUUCGUACUUGAUGUUCGGCAGGUCAUGUUUUAUACCCACUUUGCCCAUCCAUUGCACUAGCUAAUGUUAGGACAUGAACCAAAAGUUGUUUGCUAAAAGAUACUCUGUGAAUAUUUUUUGUUUUUCGGUGAAUUUAGAUAUCGUA